AGAGUUUGAUCCUGGCUCAGGAUGAACGCUAGCGGCAGGCCUAAUACAUGCAAGUCGAACGGGUGUAGCAAUACACUAGUGGCGCACGGGUGCGUAACGCGUAACCAACCUGCCCUGAACUGGGGGAUAGCCCGCCGAAAGGCGGAUUAAUACCGCAUAUACCAGCAGCCUGGCAUCAGGCAAUUGGGAAAGAUUUAUUGGUUCAGGAUGGGGUUGCGUGACAUUAGCUAGUUGGCGGGGUAACGGCCCACCAAGGCGACGAUGUCUAGGGGACCUGAGAGGGUGAUCCCCCACACUGGCACUGAGAUACGGGCCAGACUCCUACGGGAGGCAGCAGUAGGGAAUAUUGGGCAAUGGGCGAGAGCCUGACCCAGCCAUGCCGCGUGCCGGAUGAAGGCCUUCUGGGUUGUAAACGGCUUUUCUCAGGGAAGAAAAAGGUGAUGCGUCACAAACUGACGGUACCUGAGGAAUAAGCACCGGCUAACUCCGUG
This 491-nucleotide ribosomal RNA is filed under the name uncultured Hymenobacter sp. RNAcentral describes it as "bacterial SSU rRNA". It matches the Rfam family "Bacterial small subunit ribosomal RNA", at positions 8 to 507 of the family's 1533-position model. Lineage: Bacteria; Pseudomonadati; Bacteroidota; Cytophagia; Cytophagales; Hymenobacteraceae. The record is from RNAcentral.